Molecule: long non-coding RNA, 703 nt
Filed under: Zostera marina
Lineage: Eukaryota; Viridiplantae; Streptophyta; Magnoliopsida; Alismatales; Zosteraceae
Description: long non-coding RNA (ZMAR_LNC005310)
Source: RNAcentral
UGCAAUCCAAUUUCAACUCUCAUCCAUGUCCUCAGAAAUAAGUAAAUAACAAUCCAAAAAAUAUCUUUAUUUUGGAUGAUAAUUGAUCGAUAAAUGUUAACCUUAAAAAUCUAAAAUCAUAUAUAUACGAACUAUGAAGUAUGAACAGGUGGACAUAAAUUCUAACUAUAGAUGAUCAUGACCAAUUGGCCAUAGAAAAUCCUUGGCAAAUUGGAUCUAUAUGACAGUGGAGGUAAGAACUGCAAGUGAUAUCAUAUGUAGACAUGCAGAGUGAAUGAGUGAUGCAAUGUUAAUUUUUUUUCUACAUACAUCUGUUUUUUGAUAUAUAAUUACAAUUUGCAAUGAUUUUGGAUUCAUAGAGGAAUAGCUAAAGGAUUGUUGCUGUCUGAGGGAAUCCUGUUCUCAGCAGGAAUCUCUACAAACUCAGACAGAAUUGCUCUGAAUUCGUCACCUGUUAGUGUUUCCUUCUCAACAAGGAUAUCAACGAUCUUAUCCAUGGCCUCUCGGUUGUUUCUGAUGUGACCCAAAGCAAUGUCAUAUGCGGUAUCAGAUAGCCUCUUGAUAGCAGUAUCUAUGUCUUCAGCCAAUUUCUCAGAUAAUGAGUUGCGGGCCAUCAUUCUCAUGAUAACAUCUCCACUCUGAGAUGAGGGAUCCAUUAGUGACCAUGGACCAAUAUCAGACAUCCCAAAAGUAGUUACCAUCU